RNAcentral lists this long non-coding RNA (740 nucleotides) under Pogona vitticeps (central bearded dragon). RNAcentral's name for it is "lncRNA (ENSPVIG00000013307.1)". The record is from RNAcentral. Lineage: Eukaryota; Metazoa; Chordata; Lepidosauria; Squamata; Agamidae.
AAUCUGUCUUUUCCAUGUAUAUUUAGUGGGUCUUGAUGAUUACUAUACAAAUAUUUUGAGAAGAAGCAGCCAACCGGCUGAGAGAUACACUGGAGAUUGAAGCCAUUUUAAGCACACUGUAAGCCUAAGCAUCAAUUUUUCAUGGUUGCAUAUAUGAGUCUCAAAUGAUUUGUUCUAGCAAGCCAUGAAAAGGAAUAGUUUGUGUUUCAGUUGAUUUGAAGACGGGAGGGGGGGAAAGAGGCAAAGAAGAGGCUUUAUGCCAUGGACUAAAGGUGCCAGGAAGAACGAUUAGCGCUUUUUUUAAUCAGUUAUGUGUUGGAUGAAGCCGAAAGCUGCCAGAUAGCUUCUUUUCGACAGCUUGGAGUUACUGUUGGGAACAGAUCCAUGUAUGGAAGCAAGAGCAGAAAAGCAGAGAUAAGCUGCUAUCCAGCUAUGCAAACCAUGUUUAGAGCCACUUAAAGGACGAGCGUCCAAACUCCUUUCUUUCUGGGGAAUUUAGAGAAGCGAUCAUAUGAGUUUCUUGUUCCUUUCAGCCCCACGCAGAGCCACAGAGACUUGAUUGCGACCUAGGAAUGGAUCCCUCAGCCCCUAGGGACAUGAAUGGAAUGGACUCAAAUACUUUUGCAUGUCUUGUUAAUCGGGAGGACCACCCUCAUGAAACACUUUCUUCUGUUGUCCUUCUGUGACUUCAUAAGAAGUGACUUCAUAUCCUCUAGAAGACUUUGAAACAAAGACAGCAC